Molecule: ribosomal RNA, 292 nt
Filed under: uncultured bacterium
Lineage: Bacteria
Description: partial 16S ribosomal RNA
Rfam family: Bacterial small subunit ribosomal RNA
Source: RNAcentral
GUGCCAGCCGCCGCGGUAAUACGAAGGGGGCUAGCGUUGUUCGGAAUCACUGGGCGUAAAGCGCACGCAGGCGGAUUGAUAAGUCAGGGGUGAAAUCCCGGAGCUCAACUUCGGAAUUGCCUUUGAUACUGUCUGUCUUGAGUCCGGGAGAGGUGAGUGGAAUUCCUAGUGUAGAGGUGAAAUUCGUAGAUAUUAGGAAGAACACCAGUGGCGAAGGCGGCUCACUGGCCCGGUACUGACGCUCAUGUGCGAAAGCGUGGGGAGCAAACAGGAUUAGAUACCCCAGUAGUCC